RNAcentral lists this unclassified non-coding RNA (392 nucleotides) under fungal sp. RNAcentral describes it as "partial internal transcribed spacer region". The stretch from base 1 to 46 matches the Rfam family "Eukaryotic small subunit ribosomal RNA", at positions 1786 to 1831 of the family's 1831-position model. The record is from RNAcentral. Lineage: Eukaryota; Fungi.
AAGUCGUAACAAGGUUUCCGUAGGUGAACCUGCGGAAGGAUCAUUAUUACGUAUCCAACGUAUAAACCAAACGUGAACUGUUUCCGCUCACUGGUCGGAGUUAAUGUUCUGGAUCGCGCUCUACAUGGCAGUCCGAGUGAUGAUGGACUGCUGCGAUCUGUUCGCCAACCAACGCUUUACUGUUGUUGACUUGGGACUUCCCUGUGAGUUGGUUAUUCUUUAAUCAUCACAAUUUGUACCCAAUUAUAAACCCAUUGUAACCUUAUGUUGAACUGAACUAUGUUUCCACUUGGCUGAGACCGCUUGACCUCUUUGUGAGUCGCGGUUUCGGCUUUGGAAAUAAUAUUUUACGAAAUUACGAACAACUCUUAGCAACGGAUAUCUUGGCUCUC